RNAcentral lists this ribosomal RNA (567 nucleotides) under uncultured bacterium. RNAcentral's name for it is "partial 16S ribosomal RNA". It matches the Rfam family "Bacterial small subunit ribosomal RNA", at positions 67 to 675 of the family's 1533-position model. The record is from RNAcentral.
CGGGCGUAGCAAUACGKGCAGCGGCAGACGGGWGAGUAACRCGUGGGCAACRURCCYUUUGGUUCGGAACAACACAGGGAAACUUGUGCUAAUACCGGAUAAGCCCUUACGGGGAAAGAUUUAUYGCCGAARGAUYGGCCCGCGUCUGAUUAGCUAGUUGGUGAGGUAAYGGCYCACCAAGGCGACGAUCAGUAGCUGGUCUGAGAGGAUGAUCAGCCWCAUUGGGACUGAGACACGGCCCAAACUCCUACGGGAGGCAGCAGURGGGAAUAUUGGACAAUGGGCGCAAGCCUGAUCCAGCCAUGCCGCGUGAGUGAUGAAGGCCYUAGGGUUGUAAAGCUCUUUYGUGCGGGAAGAUAAUGACGGUACCGCAWGAAKAAGCCCCGGCUAACUUCGUGCCAGCAGCCGCGGUAAUACGAAGGGGGCUAGCGUUGCUCGGAAUCACUGGGGCGUAAAGSGYRCGUAGGCGGRUCUUUAAGUCAGGGGUGAAAUCCUGGAGCUCAACUCCAGAACUGCCUUUGAUACUGAAGAUCUUGAGUUCGGGAGAGGUGAGUGGAACUGCGAGUG